UCUUCCUCGUUUAUUAUUUAACAGGAACAUCCAGAGAAAGCCAGAAAACAAAACAAGGAAAGCUUUAGGAUACAGAAGGUUAGAGUAACCAUGGCCCCCUUGCCCCAGUCUCUGUGCUGCCCUGGGCCUUUCUGCAGACCACCCUUGAGCCGCAUCUGCCUCCUGAGCUGGGACCGAGGGACCCCUCUGCGCCUCUCUUGACAAUGUCCGAACGCAAUGCCGCCUCGUUCCCGCUCCGGUCAUUUGCCCACGUCGCUCAGCGUGGUCUGCCUCUGCGGGGGACCAUGGGGCUGGCAGUCGGACGUCUCCGCAGUCUUUCCUGGCCUUCCACACAGCCGUGCCCCCGCUGGGCAACCCGAAGGUCUAAAGGGUCUGGAGUCAGGGCUUGGCCUUUCUUGCUUCAGGCCAGGUCUGGGGUGGGCCCCAUGAAGCCAGCUGUCCACUCCUGGAAGGCCUUUGGGGCCACUCUGGGCCUAGUGGCGGUCAUUGCCAGGCCCAGGCCAGGCCAGUCUGCCAGGUGCUUCGUCCAGGCUUGGGCCGCACAGCGCCUCCACUCCCUCAGGGGAACCUAACAACCGCCAAGGAGGGCAGGGCAUCACAAAAUGGAGGACGAUGGAGGGAAAUGAUGGAGGAGGUGACCAAAUACGAAGACCAAAGCAAUCAUUGAAGCCCAAACUUAGGCUCCUUACUCCUUAGUCGGGUUCAAAGCAGAGGACACUGAGGGAGGAAAGGAGGGAUGCCAUGGCUAACGGGCCUUGCCUCAGGCUCACCCUAAACUGGGAAGGAAGCGCUUUAACUAGGCCUAGGGCUGAGAGGAGGACUACAAGGCCCGGCGGCCCCUGCGCCGUUGCCGGGGCAACCGCGCCCUCGGCCCCGCCCCUUCCGGAGCUCACUGGCCCCGCCCCUUCCCCUUGCUGCCGCCGAAGUCCUUGGCUCUGGCCGCGGCCUCCUCCUUCAGUUCGCGGAGGAAGGCGUCGCGCAGGCGCAGUCCGCGGGUCAGGGCCGAGGCGGUGAGGCGGGCGGCCGCCCGGAUGGGCCUGGCCUCGGAGACUCGCUCCACGAGGCGCGGGUCCCGCAGCAGGAGCCCCAGCAGCAGCCGGCGGAGAACCAUCGUCGCCGGAAGGAGCUGCCUCCCUCCGGGUGCCCCGCCCCUUCCGGAUGCUGCCCUCCCUUCCGCUUCCGGCAACAACAAGAUUCUGCAAGGAGGAGAACUGGGAAGCAAAGCGUCGAGGCCGCAGCAGGCCCCGCCCCUUCCGGAAGAGUAGCCAGCGGCAGUAGGAGGGGGAGGAGCCCCUGCUGGGCCCAGGCGUCGUGUCUGGAGAAAUGAAAAGAAGGGCUUCUGCAGUGGCGGCUUAUGAAGCAGCGGCAGGUCAAGCAGCAGAGGCACAUGCCCAGGAGGAGCACUUGGCAGGAACUGCAGUGGCCCCUCUGAACCAGCUGUGGAGGAGUGUGGGACUGUGCCAGAGGAGGAGGCGGUGGGGUCGUCACCACCGCUGGCGCCAUUGACAUCCAGUGAGCACCAGCAGCAGGUGGGCAGGGUCCCUGUUUGCCAUGGAGAUGGGCAGCAGCUUCCCUUGGCCUUGACUGCUUGCAGGAAAGAGGAGGAGAAGGAGAGAGGGUUUGGCCAGAGCCCUUCAAAUGUUCCAGAGAUGAUUUCUUUGAGGAUUGACACAAUGAAAAACCUGGAGAGGGAACCCCCUGCAAAUCGUUACUGGGUUCAGAUACAAAUUUGGGGCAGCAGUUGAGGAGACAGCGGCCGGUGAGGCUCCAAGAAGGGAGGUGCCCCCACAGCAGCCAAACUGUGGGGAGGAGGGGGCCAAAGGGUCCUCUGGCCACCACUACCCCCCCCCCCCCAAGGAGGAUGAAGAGGAGAGAGAGAGAAGCUGGUGCAGAGACAAAGAAUUCAGCGCAUACACCAAUGGUUUGUUAGAAGACACCCCCCCCCCACUGAUGCCACCUCACAACGUCAACAUCGCCACCGGCCCCUUCCCCUUGAUUGAGCUCCGAGGCCACUGUGCACCCUCAACAUCAAGCAGAUAUUGGGUGCCUGUGCAACUGCCCCUCAGGCUGCAAGGCUAUGGAGCUGGACAACAAUGGAGUAGAUAACAUCAGCCUCAUCCAUCUCCAUUAAAAAGAAAAGAAAAAAGGGGGACCUUACUCCCCACCCUCGAUGAGGAAGAGGAAGAAUCAUAGCCCACCCCUACCAAAGUUGUAUAAGAGUCAAAUAUAGUCACAAUAAAAUGUUAUUGUUUGAAAGCA
Long non-coding RNA from Sceloporus undulatus (fence lizard), 2259 nucleotides. RefSeq lists it as uncharacterized. The record is from RefSeq and is a predicted model, not a curated record. The transcript has 6 exons. NCBI's taxonomy places the organism in Eukaryota, Metazoa, Chordata, Lepidosauria, Squamata, Phrynosomatidae.